RNAcentral lists this ribosomal RNA (305 nucleotides) under uncultured bacterium. RNAcentral's name for it is "partial 16S ribosomal RNA". It matches the Rfam family "Bacterial small subunit ribosomal RNA", at positions 334 to 641 of the family's 1533-position model. The record is from RNAcentral.
UUUUCCUACGGGGGGCAGCAGUGGGGAAUAUUGCACAAUGGGGGAAACCCUGAUGCAGCGACGCCGCGUGAGUGAAGAAGUAUCUCGGUACGUAAAGCUCUAUCAGCAGGGAAGAAAAAAAGUCUUUGGCUUUGGACGGUACCUGACUAAGAAGCCCCGGCUAACUACGUGCCAGCAGCCGCGGGAAUACGUAGGGGGCAAGCGUUAUCCGGAUUUACUGGGUGUAAAGGGAGCGUAGACGGCAGCGCAAGUCUGGAGUGAAAUGCCGGGGCUCAGCCCCGGAACUGCUCUGGACACUGUGCGGG